CAGGGAGACAACAAAAUGUUUAAUAUUAUUAUUUUGUCACCUUAGGUCGAUCGGUAUCUCACGUUCUUAAUUUGUUAAGAAUUUCAUUUCCUAAGUUUUUCUAGGUCACACCCAUUAUUUUUCCUGGGCCAUUAGCUCAGGUGGUUAGAGCGCACCCCUGAUAAGGGUGAGGUCCCUGGUUCAAGUCCAGGAUGGCCCAUAUCUCUAUGUUGGGGGUAUAGCUCAGUUGGUAGAGCGCCUGCUUUGCAAGCAGGAUGUCAGCGGUUCGAGUCCGCUUACCUCCACUGAUUACCACCUCUUCCAUAACAGGUAGAAAGGAAAUGUUUUGAGUUGUGAUCAUUAUUCUGAACGAAUCUAGCUUCCUAAUGAAAUCAUUAAGAUGCUGGACUCAUUGAAUUAAUUUCAUUGUUUUCAGAGAACCUUGACAACUGCAUAGAUUAUUUUUAAAGACAAUAAGCAUCUUUAAUGAUGCAGAUUUAUUAUUUGUGCGAAUGCAUUAAUAACAAUUCUAUUAAGCUGAUGCUUCAAUUUUUGAAGUUAUU
RNAcentral lists this transfer RNA (542 nucleotides) under uncultured cyanobacterium. RNAcentral's name for it is "partial contains 16S ribosomal RNA, 16S-23S ribosomal RNA intergenic spacer, and 23S ribosomal RNA". The stretch from base 212 to 284 matches the Rfam family "tRNA". The record is from RNAcentral. Lineage: Bacteria; Bacillati; Cyanobacteriota.